Molecule: ribosomal RNA, 444 nt
Filed under: uncultured bacterium
Lineage: Bacteria
Description: bacterial SSU rRNA
Rfam family: Bacterial small subunit ribosomal RNA
Source: RNAcentral
UAAGGAAUAUUGGUCAAUGGACGCAAGUCUGAACCAGCCAUGCCGCGUGGAGGAUGAAGGUCCUCUGGAUUGUAAACUUCUUUUAUCUGGGACGAAAAAAGGGAAUUCUUUCUCACUUGACGGUACCAGAUGAAUAAGCACCGGCUAACUCCGUGCCAGCAGCCGCGGUAAUACGGAGGGUGCAAGCGUUAUCCGGAUUCACUGGGUUUAAAGGGUGCGUAGGCGGGUAUGUAAGUCAGUGGUGAAAUCUUCGAGCUUAACUCGGAAACUGCCAUUGAUACUAUAUAUCUUGAAUAUUGUGGAGGUAAGCGGAAUAUGUCAUGUAGCGGUGAAAUGCUUAGAUAUGACAUAGAACACCCAUUGCGAAGGCAGCUUACUACGCAUAUAUUGACGCUGAGGCACGAAAGCGUGGGGAUCAAACAGGAUUAGAUACCCGUGUAGUCC